This 72-nucleotide transfer RNA is filed under the name Camelus dromedarius (Arabian camel). It matches the Rfam family "tRNA". Rfam says of the family: Transfer RNA (tRNA) molecules are approximately 80 nucleotides in length. Their secondary structure includes four short double-helical elements and three loops (D, anti-codon, and T loops). RNAcentral also lists the same sequence under 1 other name. The record is from Rfam by way of RNAcentral. Lineage: Eukaryota; Metazoa; Chordata; Mammalia; Artiodactyla; Camelidae.
GAGGGUGUAGCUCAGGGGUAGAGCAUGUGCUUAGCAUGCAUGAGGUCCUGGGUUCAACCCCCAGGACCUCCA